CAGCCGCCGCGGUAAUACGAAGGGUGCAAGCGUUACUCGGAAUUACUGGGCGUAAAGCGUGCGUAGGUGGUUGUUUAAGUCUGCUGUGAAAGCCCUGGGCUCAACCUGGGAAUUGCAGUGGAUACUGGGCGACUAGAGUAAGGUAGAGGAUAGUGGAAUUUCCGGUGUAGCAGUGAAAUGCGUAGAGAUCGGAAGGAACAUCUGUGGCGAAGGCGACUAUCUGGGCCAUUACUGACACUGAGGCACGAAAGCGUGGGGAGCAAACAGGAUUAGAUACCCCGGUAGUCCCUGUCUCUUAUAC
RNAcentral lists this ribosomal RNA (301 nucleotides) under uncultured bacterium. RNAcentral's name for it is "partial 16S ribosomal RNA". It matches the Rfam family "Bacterial small subunit ribosomal RNA", at positions 509 to 807 of the family's 1533-position model. The record is from RNAcentral.